This 460-nucleotide ribosomal RNA is filed under the name uncultured bacterium. RNAcentral's name for it is "partial 16S ribosomal RNA". It matches the Rfam family "Bacterial small subunit ribosomal RNA", at positions 338 to 795 of the family's 1533-position model. The record is from RNAcentral.
CCUACGGGGAGCUGCAGUGAGGAAUAUUGGUCAAUGGCCGGAAGGCUGAACCAGCCAUGCCGCGUGAAGGUCAGUGCCCUAUGGGCGUUAAACUUCUUUUGUGCGGGAGCAAUAAUGGUCACGUGUGGCCAGACGAGAGUACCGUACGAAUAAGCAUCGGCUAACUCCGUGCCAGCAGCCGCGGUAAUACGGGGGAUGCAAGCGUUAUCCGGAUUUAUUGGGUUUAAAGGGUGCGUAGGCUGUGAGGUAAGUCAGCGGUGAAAUGCCCCCGCUCAACGGGGUGAAGUGCCAUUGAUACUGCCUGGCUGGAAUGCGGAUGCCGUGGGAGGAAUGUGUGGUGUAGCGGUGAAAUGCAUAGAUAUCACACAGAACACCGAUUGCGAAGGCAUCUCACGAAUCCGCGAUUGACGCUGAUGCACGAAAGCGUGGGUAUCAAACAGGAUUAGAUACCCGAGUAGUC